This 253-nucleotide ribosomal RNA is filed under the name uncultured bacterium. RNAcentral's name for it is "partial 16S ribosomal RNA". It matches the Rfam family "Bacterial small subunit ribosomal RNA", at positions 524 to 776 of the family's 1533-position model. The record is from RNAcentral.
UACGAAGGGGGCUAGCGUUGUUCGGAAUCACUGGGCGUAAAGCGCGCGUAGGCGGAUCGUUAAGUCAGGGGUGAAAUCCCGAGGCUCAACCUCGGAACUGCCUUUGAUACUGGCGAUCUGGAGUCCGGGAGAGGUGAGUGGAACUCCUAGUGUAGAGGUGAAAUUCGUAGAUAUUAGGAAGAACACCAGUGGCGAAGGCGGCUCACUGGCCCGGUACUGACGCUGAUGCGCGAAAGCGUGGGGAGCAAACAGG